GUUAUUGGAACAGUGGCCAUAUGAAGCAGCUGCUAUAGCUUUUGAGGUUAUUCCACGUACUCUAGCUCAGAACUGUGGAGUUAACGUGAUCAGAACUAUGACAGCAUUGCAAGGAAAACAUGCAAAUGGGGAGAAUGCUUGGACUGGAAUUGAUGGGAAUACUGGUGCAAUAGCUGACAUGAAAGAGAGCAAGAUAUGGGAUGCGUACAAUGUGAAGGCGCAAACGUUCAAGACAGCGAUAGAAGCGGCGUGUAUGCUUCUGAGGAUUGAUGAUAU
This is a non-coding RNA of Camelina sativa (false flax), 276 nucleotides long. NCBI's taxonomy places the organism in Eukaryota, Viridiplantae, Streptophyta, Magnoliopsida, Brassicales, Brassicaceae. The record is from RefSeq and is a predicted model, not a curated record.